RNAcentral lists this ribosomal RNA (257 nucleotides) under uncultured bacterium. RNAcentral's name for it is "partial small subunit ribosomal RNA". It matches the Rfam family "Bacterial small subunit ribosomal RNA", at positions 26 to 285 of the family's 1533-position model. The record is from RNAcentral.
AGGACGAACGCUGGCGGCGUGCUUAACACAUGCAAGUCGAGCGGAAAGGCCCUUUCGGGGGUACUCGAGCGGCGAACGGGUGAGUAACACGUGAGUAACCUGCCCCAGUCUUUGGGAUAACCCUCGGAAACGUGGGCUAAUACCGGAUGUGACCGGUCACCGCAUGGUGGUUGGUGGAAAGUUUUUUCGGUCUGGGAUGGGCUCGCGGCCUAUCAGCUUGUUGGUGGGGUGAUGGCCUACCAAGGCGACGACGGGUA